GCACUGGUAGUUCAGUGAUAGAAUUUUCACCUUCCAUAUGGGAGACCCAGGUUCAAUUUCUGGCCAAUACA
RNAcentral lists this transfer RNA (71 nucleotides) under Loxodonta africana (African savanna elephant). It matches the Rfam family "tRNA". Rfam says of the family: Transfer RNA (tRNA) molecules are approximately 80 nucleotides in length. Their secondary structure includes four short double-helical elements and three loops (D, anti-codon, and T loops). Lineage: Eukaryota; Metazoa; Chordata; Mammalia; Proboscidea; Elephantidae. The record is from Rfam by way of RNAcentral.